GCCCUAAGUAGCUCAGUUGGUACAGCAUCAGACUUUUAAUCUGGGGGUCCAGGGUUCAAGUCCCUGUUCAGGCU
Molecule: non-coding RNA, 74 nt
Organism: Syngnathoides biaculeatus (alligator pipefish)
Lineage: Eukaryota; Metazoa; Chordata; Actinopteri; Syngnathiformes; Syngnathidae
Source: the annotation of a RefSeq genome assembly